CCUACGGGUGGCAGCAGUGGGGAAUAUUGCACAAUGGGGGAAACCCUGAUGCAGCGACGCCGCGUGAGUGAAGACGUAAUUCUUUAUGUAAAGCUCUAUCAGCAGGGAAGAAAAUGACGGUACCUGAGUAAGAAGCCCCGGCUAACUACGUGCCAGCAGCCGCGGUAAUACGUAGGGGGCAAGCGUUGUCCGGAAUCACUGGGCGUAAAGGGCGCGUAGUCGGUAAUAUAAGUCAGAUGUGAAAGGUGGCGGCUCAACCCGUAGAGUGCAACUGAUACUGUAUAACUUGAGUGUGAGAGAGGGAAGCGGAAGUCCUAGUGUAGCGGUGAAAUGCGUAGAUAUUAGGAGGAACACCAGUGGCGAAGGCGGCUUUCUGGCUCAUAACUGACGCUGAGGCGCGAAAGCGUGGGGAGCAAACAGGAUUAGAUACCCGUGUAGUC
Molecule: ribosomal RNA, 440 nt
Filed under: uncultured bacterium
Lineage: Bacteria
Description: partial 16S ribosomal RNA
Rfam family: Bacterial small subunit ribosomal RNA
Source: RNAcentral